GACGAACGCUGGCGGCGUGCCUAAUACAUGCAAGUUGAGCGCUGAAGGUUGGUACUUGUACCAACUGGAUGAGCAGCGAACGGGUGAGUAACGCGUGGGGAAUCUGCCUUUGAGCGGGGGACAACAUUUGGAAACGAAUGCUAAUACCGCAUAAAAACUUUAAACACAAGUUUUAAGUUUGAAAGAUGCAAUUGCAUCACUCAAAGAUGAUCCCGCGUUGUAUUAGCUAGUUGGUGAGGUAAAGGCUCACCAAGGCGAUGAUACAUAGCCGACCUGAGAGGGGGAUCGGCCACAUUGGGACUGAGACACGGCCCAAACUCCUUCGGGAGGCAGCAGGAGGGGAUCUUCGGGAAUGGACGAAAGGCUGAACGAGCAACGCCGGGGGAGUGAAGAAGGGUUUCGGAUCGGAAAACUCUGUUGGUAGGGAAGAACGUUGGUGGGAGUGGAAAGCGCAUGAAGUGACGGUAACUAACCAGAAAGGGACGGCUAACUACGUG
RNAcentral lists this ribosomal RNA (497 nucleotides) under uncultured bacterium. Its description in RNAcentral is "partial 16S ribosomal RNA". It matches the Rfam family "Bacterial small subunit ribosomal RNA", at positions 28 to 507 of the family's 1533-position model. The record is from RNAcentral.